AGCCACAGCCAUAUCACCCUGCAGCCCAAGACUGGUUGCCCACUGAAGCUAAGCAGGGUUGUACCUGGAUGGGAGACAUCCUGGGAAAGCUAGGUUGCUGUUGGAA
This 106-nucleotide ribosomal RNA is filed under the name Sinocyclocheilus grahami. Lineage: Eukaryota; Metazoa; Chordata; Actinopteri; Cypriniformes; Cyprinidae. The record is from RNAcentral.